UGCUUGUGAGACAGAUCUGUAUAGCAGG
Molecule: non-coding RNA, 28 nt
Filed under: Rattus norvegicus (Norway rat)
Lineage: Eukaryota; Metazoa; Chordata; Mammalia; Rodentia; Muridae
Source: RNAcentral